Molecule: long non-coding RNA, 1843 nt
Filed under: Homo sapiens (human)
Lineage: Eukaryota; Metazoa; Chordata; Mammalia; Primates; Hominidae
Description: HSALNT0332614
Source: RNAcentral
CUGAAAGUGGUUAAUGCCUCAGUUCCUAGAGUUCCUGCCAUUGCCACACACUCUACCCCUAGCACUGUGUGGGGCACAUGGACAGCACAUGGGGAACCUGUGAUUGGGUCUCUGCUCUCCAGGAAUGUCUAGCACGCAGGCAACAUCACAAAGGAGGGCAGGACUGGCUGUGGGGUGCAGUGGACUGCAAAGGGGGAGAUAGGACAGAGGCUUUUAGCAACUAGGGGAAGUUUCACGAGGAGGAGGGGCUGACACCUGAAGCAGAGAUGAGAGUCCAACAGGCAGCAGGUGGGCGGGGAUCUGUGUCUGCAGAAGUUCAGCGGUGAAGGCUACACCAGGAAAUCUCAAGAGACAGAAAAGAUCAACUACACUGGAGCUGGGGGGACGUGAAGGAGAAAAAAGCAAACAGGGGCUGAGCAGCUGCUCCUUCCAUUCAUGGAUCAUUGAGGUCUCUGGCUGCCCUGUGUGGUUCUUUCCUUGACAUCACUUGGAUCCCUUCAUAGCUCACCAGGUCUUACUUGGAGCCAGCUAUUUGAAGCCUGGCAAGAAGAGUCUUCGUAGUCUGACUCAUGAGGCACAUUUUCUUUAUUGUCAUCACAUUCAAUCACAACAGUUGGCACUUGUCUUAUUUCUGGAAGGCCCAUAGGUCCUGCUUUGGUGACCCCAUCACCCGAGUGCAACCCAGAGCUGUGAUUAACUGGAAGUGGAAUUUAUAUCUUUCAUUUAAGGAAUUUCUAAAUACAGGAAACUCAAUGCAUUUUACCAUCCAAAAGUGUUUGACAUGCCUAAGGAAAUGGAGCAUGAGGUUAUAUUAUAUAUCAGGAGGCAUCUAGUGGUGUGCUGCAGGGAUGUGGUGCUCUGGACUUGGUUAGCAUCUUUAUCAAUGGCAAUGACAAAAAGGGCAUCCUCAAUGAAUAACUGAAAGAGUUGAAGGAGAGAAGGAAAGAAGGGAGAGUGAAUAGAGAGAACAUUUACUAAAUGUGUAAUUUUCACACACAGUGUUGCAUUUCACCUUUCCAGCAACCGUAUGGGACAGGUGCUGUUCUCCCCAUUUUAUGAAGCAGGAAAUUGAAGCUCUGAAAGGGUAAUGAAUAGGCCCACAAGGACACAGUUGGUAAAGGAAGGGCUUGAAAUUUGAACCUACUGUAUUACAAAUUCUGCAUGCAAAAGUUGAACUGUGAUACUUAUGAGAUGUGUCCUUUGAUAAAACACACACCUGACUAAAUGUACCCAGGCAAGAUGGAGGAAAUAUCAUACCUUGUCAACAACGUGUGUAAAAAAUGGGCAUCAUUAUUUAUAACUAUUUUAAGUCCUACUAACUAGGGUAGGUAAUAGUAUUCUACCCUGCCAUGACCAGGCCACUCCUGGGGCACUGAGUUUAAUACUCAGGGCGUUCAGGAGACCCAUCUAUUCACCGAUUCACCUUGGCUGCUUUUGCACCAAAAUAGAAGAGUGGAGUAGUUGCAAUAGAGCUGAAAAUAUUUACUAUCUAUCUGGUUCCUUAAAGAAAAAAUUUUCUGUGCCCUGAUCUGAACCAGUGUUUUCUAAACCUUGAUUAUACUCCCACCUCCUUAAUCUUUUUUGUGUAUGGCAUCUUUGAAGUCCAUUUACACUAUUAUUUACUUUGUAAUUUUUUAAGUCAGUACGGUAUUUUUUAAAAAUUUAAACACUAUUGUAACCUCAUCCUAAGCAAAUGAUAUCUUUGUAAUAACAGGUUUUGUAUGUAAAUCAUAUAGGUUUAUAACAUGUUAAGAUAUAUUUUUAUAUUUGUAAUACAUAUAUUUUCAAUAUUGAUAUAUGCAUAAGUACAUACAAUAUUCAAUAAAAUAUUAAAACUAAUAAA